Long non-coding RNA from Oncorhynchus tshawytscha (Chinook salmon), 1007 nucleotides. The record is from Ensembl. NCBI's taxonomy places the organism in Eukaryota, Metazoa, Chordata, Actinopteri, Salmoniformes, Salmonidae.
CAUGGAGUCUUCUGUCUAGUCCUAUGGGCCCCAGGCCAGGUAAAACACAGCAUGGAGUCUUCUGUCUAGUCCAAUGGGCCACAGGCCAGGUAAAACACAGCAUGGAGUCUUCUGUCUAGUCCAAUGGGCCCCAGGCCAGGUAAAACACAACAUGGAGUCUUCUGUCUAGUCCUAUGGGCCCCAGGCCAGGUAAAACACAGCAUGGAGUCUUCUGUCCAGCCCUAUGGGCCCCAGGCCAGGUAAAACACAACAUGGAGUCUUCUGUCUAGUCCAAUGGGCCCCAGGCCAGGUAAAACACAACAUGGAGUCUUCUGUCUAGUCCUAUGGGCCCCAGGCCAGGUAAAACACAGCAUGGAGUCUUCUGUCUAGUCCUAUGGGCCCCAGGCCUGGUAAAACACAGCAUGGAGUCUUCUGUCUAGUCUUAUGGGCCCCAGGUAAAACACAGCAUCUGACAAACUGGGAGCUAAGGGACAGCUGUUUGUCACUGGCUGGGUACAUGCAGGUAUGGUGGACGUUGAUGUGGCAACGGCAAGCACUGUUGGGGGAGGAGAUUGCUGUAGCCUCCGUUAUUAUAUGAAGAGGAGAUUAUAAUGAAGGCUACAGACAUAACGAGCUACAUCUAAGUACUUUGGCCUCAACCUUUAAUAAACAACAGCCUUUGAUCUGUUUUCACCCAGUGUACCUGAUGGAACUCACUGACUACCUUUUUAAUGGGCAUCUAUCAUUACUUUUGAAGGUACCGGUCGAUGUCUUAGUCCUACAAAUAGCUGGUUGGUCUGGUUUGUGUGUGGCUGCUUGCUGAAUAAGCUUUGUUGUGCAGAAUGCUGGUGGGAGGAAGGUAUUUAUCUUCCUCUGAGGUACAGGUCAUAGUUAAGCAGGAUGGCAGUUGUCUAUCUGAUGGACUCUUCCUGCUAAACCUGCUUGAAUGGGUUAGGGUUUCUGCUGCUGUGUCAGAUAUCACUGUGAAGAUUAAUGGGUUGUUGAGCUGUGUGUGUGUGUGUGUGUGU